GUAUUGCAAUACAACAUAAACAACCAAAGCUAAAACGGGGAACUAUUGCAACACACUUUGGUUUUAUUAUUUUUUUUAUAGCUAGCGAGAUACAGUUGCUUUCACGAAAUGUGUUCGACUGCUAAGCUAGCCGACUGGCUAAACUAAGUAGCUAGCAAGUUAGCUCAGCUCGGUUCCGGCCUAAAAUAGCUAACGUUAGCUCCAUUUUCAGAUUUCGGGAAAACCACAAUUCAAGUGUACAUUACCACGUAUGCAGAUGUUCAUCUAACGAAACCAAGGGAAAGCUGAUGGAACGUUAGUCCAACUGAGUCACCAAUUCUCGUCAUGCAAUGGUGAGUAAUCACUUUGUACACUGUGCACUAAUAAAAGGAUCAGCGUAUCAGUAAACAUCAGGGUGUGUCUUGAAACGUCUGUAGAGGCGUGCCUGUGUUGUACCAGGAUUAUCUGCAUUGAAUGAGGGUAGUGAUUACUAAUAUAAUGUAGGUAGAGGAACUGUAGGCCUAAUGUUGGCCCAUCCAAGAAUUAUAGAAACACAUUAUUUGGUAUGAGAAACACUUAAAUUACUGUAUUAUGAAGGAAAAAAUAAAGUGGAACUGUAGUGAUUUUUUUAUUUAUUUAUUUGUGUUUUCUAAGGGG
Molecule: long non-coding RNA, 636 nt
Filed under: Salmo trutta (river trout)
Lineage: Eukaryota; Metazoa; Chordata; Actinopteri; Salmoniformes; Salmonidae
Description: lncRNA (ENSSTUG00000020263.1)
Source: RNAcentral